CUCAGGUUUAUCGUUGUUGUUUUAUGCAUAUCGUACGGAACGACAACAUUGACCCUUCGGGUGAUUUGUUGGGCGUCGAGCGGCGGACGGGUGAGUAAUGCCUGGGAAAUUGCCCUGAUGUGGGGGAUAACCAUUGGAAACGAUGGCUAAUACCGCAUAAUGUCUACGGACCAAAGAGGGGGACCUUCGGGCCUCUCGCUUCAGGAUAUGCCCAGGUGGGAUUAGCUAGUUGGUGAGGUAAUGGCUCACCAAGGCGACGAUCCCUAGCUGGUCUGAGAGGAUGAUCAGCCACACUGGAACUGAGACACGGUCCAGACUCCUACGGGAGGCAGCAGUGGGGAAUAUUGCACAAUGGGCGCAAGCCUGAUGCAGCCAUGCCGCGUGUAUGAAGAAGGCCUUCGGGUUGUAAAGUACUUUCAGUCGUGAGGAAGGCGUUGAAGUUAAUAGCUUCAUCGUUUGACGUUAGCGACAGAAGAAGCACCGGCUAACUCCGUGCCAGCAGCCGCGGUAAUACGGAGGGUGCGAGCGUUAAUCGGAAUUACUGGGCGUAAAGCGCAUGCAGGUGGUUUGUUAAGUCAGAUGUGAAAGCCCGGGGCUCAACCUCGGAACCGCAUUUGAAACUGGCAGGCUAGAGUACUGUAGAGGGGGGUAGAAUUUCAGGUGUA
RNAcentral lists this ribosomal RNA (665 nucleotides) under Vibrio sp. KR05-70. RNAcentral's name for it is "bacterial SSU rRNA". It matches the Rfam family "Bacterial small subunit ribosomal RNA", at positions 23 to 677 of the family's 1533-position model. The record is from RNAcentral. Lineage: Bacteria; Pseudomonadati; Pseudomonadota; Gammaproteobacteria; Vibrionales; Vibrionaceae.